AUGCCAUGGCCUCGGAUCCGCGCCGCCGUCGCCGGAGAACAUCGUUCGCCACCGGUUCUUCGACCACAACUACCGGAUCAAGUUGCCCCGCCUCCGAUCUACCCGUUCCCGGCCACCCCAACCUCGCCUCGUCGUCGGGCGCGUAGAGAGACGGCCAUGACCGCCGGAUUCCCGAGCGCCGCCGGCCAAGGUCUUGGAGGAGACCGUCGAGGUCUUGGAGGGGUGGUUCUGGAGCACAAGCUGCGGCGAGUUGUCGGCUAUGUGACAGAGGAGACCCCCGAGGUCUUGCAAGGGUGGUUCUGGAGCGAAGUGGGAUGUGUGUCAGGUGAAGGACUCCCUUGUGGCGAACGGCGCUGGGUGCUAUCAGCUGAGAAGGCUUCAGGCCGGACCAUGGAUGGUGCAGCGGGUGAGAGUUGGGGCAGACGGCGAGUGCGGUGGAUGCGGAUGCCGCCUAGGUUCUGUUGA
RNAcentral lists this ribosomal RNA (465 nucleotides) under Triticum aestivum (bread wheat). Its description in RNAcentral is "partial small subunit ribosomal RNA". The record is from RNAcentral. Lineage: Eukaryota; Viridiplantae; Streptophyta; Magnoliopsida; Poales; Poaceae.